Molecule: ribosomal RNA, 253 nt
Filed under: uncultured bacterium
Lineage: Bacteria
Description: partial 16S ribosomal RNA
Rfam family: Bacterial small subunit ribosomal RNA
Source: RNAcentral
UACGGGGGGAGCUAGCGUUUUUCGGAAUUACUGGGCGUAAAGGGCGCGUAGGCGGCUAAUAAAGUUGAAAGUGAAAUCCCUGGGCUUAACCUAGGAACUGCUUUCAAAACUCAUUAGCUAGAGUGCGAUAGAGGACAGUAGAAUUUCUAGUGUAGAGGUGAAAUUCUUAGAUAUUAGAAAGAAUACCAGCGGCGAAGGCGGCUGUCUGGGUCGUAACUGACGCUGAGGCGCGAAAGCGUGGGGAGCAAACAGG